Molecule: ribosomal RNA, 203 nt
Filed under: Gambierdiscus australes
Lineage: Eukaryota; Dinophyceae; Gonyaulacales; Pyrocystaceae
Description: partial Bacterial small subunit ribosomal RNA
Rfam family: Bacterial small subunit ribosomal RNA
Source: RNAcentral
GCGGCAGGCUUAACACAUGCAAGUCGAGCGCCCUGCUUGCAGGGAGCGGCAGACGGGUGAGUAACGCGUGGGAACCUACCUUUAGGUACGGAAUAACAGUUAGAAAUGACUGCUAAUACCGUAUGUGCCCGAGAGGGGAAAGAUUUAUCGCCUAUAGAUGGGCCCGCGUUGGAUUAGCUAGUUGGUGGGGUAAUGGCCUACCA